RNAcentral lists this ribosomal RNA (839 nucleotides) under Listeria monocytogenes. Its description in RNAcentral is "bacterial SSU rRNA". It matches the Rfam family "Bacterial small subunit ribosomal RNA", at positions 1 to 821 of the family's 1533-position model. Lineage: Bacteria; Bacillati; Bacillota; Bacilli; Caryophanales; Listeriaceae. The record is from RNAcentral.
UUUUAUGGAGAGUUUGAUCCUGGCUCAGGAUGAACGCUGGCGGCGUGCCUAAUACAUGCAAGUCGAGCGAACAGACGAGGAGCUUGCUCCUUUGACGUUAGCGGCGGACGGGUGAGUAACACGUAGGUAACCUACCUAUAAGACUGGGAUAACUUCGGGAAACCGGAGCUAAUACCGGAUAAUAUUUCGAACCGCAUGGUUCGAUAGUGAAAGAUGGCUUUGCUAUCACUUAUAGAUGGACCUGCGCCGUAUUAGCUAGUUGGUAAGGUAACGGCUUACCAAGGCAACGAUACGUAGCCGACCUGAGAGGGUGAUCGGCCACACUGGAACUGAGACACGGUCCAGACUCCUACGGGAGGCAGCAGUAGGGAAUCUUCCGCAAUGGGCGAAAGCCUGACGGAGCAACGCCGCGUGAGUGAUGAAGGUCUUCGGAUCGUAAAACUCUGUUAUUAGGGAAGAACAAACGUGUAAGUAACUGUGCACGUCUUGACGGUACCUAAUCAGAAAGCCACGGCUAACUACGUGCCAGCAGCCGCGGUAAUACGUAGGUGGCAAGCGUUAUCCGGAAUUAUUGGGCGUAAAGCGCGCGUAGGCGGUUUUUUAAGUCUGAUGUGAAAGCCCACGGCUCAACCGUGGAGGGUCAUUGGAAACUGGAAAACUUGAGUGCAGAAGAGGAAAGUGGAAUUCCAUGUGUAGCGGUGAAAUGCGCAGAGAUAUGGAGGAACACCAGUGGCGAAGGCGACUUUCUGGUCUGUAACUGACGCUGAUGUGCGAAAGCGUGGGGAUCAAACAGGAUUAGAUACCCUGGUAGUCCACGCCGUAAACGAUGAGUGCUAAGU